UUAGACCUCAUUUAAGGUGACUGCCACUGGGGAAGGAUUUCUCUCUGGAGAUCCCUCCCUGGUGAAGCUUUCCCCUGUGGAUCUAGAACCUUCAGAUACAGAUACAAAGGAUAAUUUUGCCUUGCAGUCCCAUGGAACUCACGGCGUGUCUAAGAUGGUUGCUGAGGCUAGAGUCAAAGUUUUCCAAUCACCAGGUUGCAGAGCAGCCUAUGUCUCUAGAACUUUACUAAGACUUCUCCUAAAGUGACCUGUAACUAUUUCUGAGUAAGGAGGUUGCUGUUGUUUUAAGUUAAAGCAUGGAAUAGUUUAGUUCAAUGCUGCUGCUUUCUUUAGUACAGAAAAUGACAAGAACUGUGAAAAAAGCAGUGGGAAAAACAAAGGAGAGAGAAUGCUCAAAGCAAGAAAACAAACUAUGUAAAAUAAAGAUGAAGAAUUUGUGUUUCAGUGAAAUAUGUCUAUCUUUUUGUGAUGAAUGAAAUUGCUUAGAGGUACCACAAGAGCUAGAAAUGCAAGGAAAAAAUCUUCACACCAGGGCUACCUUCUUUGAAAAGCAGGAGGAAAAAAAAAAA
Molecule: non-coding RNA, 569 nt
Organism: Meleagris gallopavo (turkey)
Lineage: Eukaryota; Metazoa; Chordata; Aves; Galliformes; Phasianidae
Source: RefSeq, a predicted model, not a curated record